CGGGGAAUAUUGGACAAUGGGCGCAAGCCUGAUCCAGCCAUGCCGCGUGAGUGAUGAAGGCCCUAGGGUUGUAAAGCUCUUUCAACGGUGAAGAUAAUGACGGUAACCGUAGAAGAAGCCCCGGCUAACUUCGUGCCAGCAGCCGCGGUAAUACGAAGGGGGCUAGCGUUGUUCGGAAUUACUGGGCGUAAAGCGCACGUAGGCGGAUUGUUAAGUUAGGGGUGAAAUCCCAGGGCUCAACCCUGGAACUGCCUUUAAUACUGGCAAUCUCGAGUCCGAGAGAGGUGAGUGGAAUUCCGAGUGUAGAGGUGAAAUUCGUAGAUAUUCGGAGGAACACCAGUGGCGAAGGCGGCUCACUGGCUCGGUACUGACGCUGAGGUGCGAAAGCGUGGGGAGCAAACAG
This 403-nucleotide ribosomal RNA is filed under the name uncultured bacterium. Its description in RNAcentral is "bacterial SSU rRNA". It matches the Rfam family "Bacterial small subunit ribosomal RNA", at positions 355 to 775 of the family's 1533-position model. The record is from RNAcentral.